UACAGAGGUCCCAAGCGUUGUUCGGAAUCACUGGGCGUAAAGCGCACGUAGGCGGCUUUCUAAGUCAGGGGUGAAAUCCUGGAGCUCAACUCCAGAACUGCCUUUGAUACUGGGAAGCUCGAGUCCGGAAGAGGUGAGUGGAACUGCGAGUGUAGAGGUGAAAUUCGUAGAUAUUCGCAAGAACACCAGUGGCGAAGGCGGCUCGCUGGUCCGGUACUGACGCUGAGGUGCGAAAGCGUGGGGAGCAAACAGG
This 253-nucleotide ribosomal RNA is filed under the name uncultured bacterium. Its description in RNAcentral is "partial 16S ribosomal RNA". It matches the Rfam family "Bacterial small subunit ribosomal RNA", at positions 524 to 776 of the family's 1533-position model. The record is from RNAcentral.